CAAAUAUCUAUGCAAGGUAGAACAUAAAUAAAUUAAAUGGAAUAGUUAUAAUUAUAUGGAGCAUGCUUUGUGUCUUUUCUUUGUUUUUUUUGUGUGUAUUUUCUUUUUCGCCUUCUGCAGGAUUUUGCUAAAUA
RNAcentral lists this non-coding RNA (134 nucleotides) under Foraminifera environmental sample. The record is from RNAcentral. Lineage: Eukaryota; Foraminifera.